RNAcentral lists this ribosomal RNA (358 nucleotides) under Anaplasma phagocytophilum. Its description in RNAcentral is "bacterial SSU rRNA". It matches the Rfam family "Bacterial small subunit ribosomal RNA", at positions 153 to 547 of the family's 1533-position model. Lineage: Bacteria; Pseudomonadati; Pseudomonadota; Alphaproteobacteria; Rickettsiales; Anaplasmataceae. The record is from RNAcentral.
UAGAAUGGGGGUAAUACUGUAUAAUCCCUGCGGGGGAAAGAUUUAUCGCUAUUAGAUGAGCCUAUGUUAGAUUAGCUAGUUGGUAGGGUAAAGGCCUACCAAGGCGAUGAUCUAUAGCUGGUCUGAGAGGAUGAUCAGCCACACUGGAACUGAGAUACGGUCCAGACUCCUACGGGAGGCAGCAGUGGGGAAUAUUGGACAAUGGGCGCAAGCCUGAUCCAGCUAUGCCGCGUGAGUGAGGAAGGCCUUAGGGUUGUAAAACUCUUUCAGUAGGGAAGAUAAUGACGGUACCUACAGAAGAAGCCCGGCAAACUCCGUGCCGCAGCCGCGGUAAUACGGAGGGGGCAAGCGUUGUUCG